UCGUGUAAAACCCUGUGACGUGGCGCGAUGUGAACACGCCCUCAGAUCUGCAGUCACGUGGAGCCUUUAAACAGGCGCCAUUUUCUGAGCAGGAUCUAUUCUGCCGCAGCCAGCGUCGAGUUCAGUUCUCUCUCUUUGUCUUCGAGAAAAAAAAGUUUGUUCAACAUGUCUGACGAGGGAAAGCUGUUCAUUGGUGGUCUGAGCUAUGAUACCACAGAGCAUUCCUUGGAAGAGGCAUUCUCCAAAUAUGGAUCAAUUGCCAAAGUUGAUGUCAUCCGGGACCGUGAGACCGACCGUUCCAGAGGCUUUGGUUUUGUCACAUUUGAAAAUCCGGAGGAUGCAAAGGAUGCCAUGGCUGCAAUGAAUGGAAAGUCUGUUGAUGGCCGCAUGAUUCGCGUUGAUGAAGCUGGCAAAUCUGGUAGACGGUCCGGUGGCUUCAGAGGAGGUCCUGGAGGUGGCGGCAGGGGAGGCUUCAGGGGUGGCCGAGGUGGUGGAGGAUAUGGUGGCGACAGGGGCUAUGGUGGAGGUGACCGAUCCUACAGUGGUGGCGAUAGAGGCUAUGGCGGAGGAGAGAGAAGCUACGGUGGUGGUGACCGUUCCUACAGCAGCGGUGGUGGUGGUGGAUACUCCAGGAGUGGUGGAUACUCUGGGGGUAGCGGCGGUGGAUACAGGGAUAAUAGGUUUUAGGAGUCAGGGGGGAUAUGACCGUUCCGGCGGAUCCUACAGAGACAGCUACGACAGUUAUGCUUCACACGAGUAAAAAAAAAAAAUCCUGAUUGCAAGAUCAUCGCUUCGCUGGCUGUAUUUAAAAAGAUGCGCUCUUGGAAGACUUUUUGUUUUUUCUCUACAUUUUGUGUUCUGAUUCAAAUGUUCUAUUAAAGACUCCUUUUUUACUGUGUCAAGUAUCCACAGGAUGUUCCUCUCAUUGAGGAGCUGCCUAAUAUCCAUGAGCAUUCACUUACUGUAAGAGUUUCAAGUUCUGUGAGGCUACCUGUAUCUGCCAUUUUAUCUUGCGAUUGUGUUAUAGAUGCUCACAGAGGUUUGAAACUGUCCUGAUUUUUUUUUUUUUUUAAGUAUGUGUUUAAGAAACUGUCUCUGAAACCAUGCGUGAAAAUUGACCUGUUCAACACAGCCUGAUAGCUUCUACAACCAAUUUCCUCAAAGAUCUUUGGACCAAUUUCUUAAUAUCGACUCAAUGAAAGUGCUUAGGGGGGUAUUUGCAUUUAAACCAUUUUAAAACGGCAGUUUCGCCACAAGAAAAUAUUCUAAUCUGAUCCUCCAAUAGAAGCUUGAUAAGCUGUGAUGUUCUUUAUGGCUCUUUGCCAUCUCCAUUUUGUGAUGCAUUCCUUUAGUGAAGCAAGGCAGGCAUGUUGCGUUGGAGUUGACUCUGGCAAACCUCCUUGAUGUUGCUAAAGAUCUGUAAAUAUUCAUUAUCCAAAGAGUAAACCGCUUAAGUGGGUCAUUCCACCUCACUUUAGGACUGAAUCCCUGAGGUACUUUACUCUUUGAGCAGUCUAAAUUUAUUUUUUAAAGUAUGCUCUACUGUGGACUGAACUUAUCCUCUUAAAUGUCAAGAAUUUGUUCCUUGGAAAGAAAUGUGCUCUGUUCUGUAUAUCAACACCUCCAGAAUCCCUUUUUUCUUUUUGUAUGAAUCUGGCUUCAUGAAGCCCAUUAAAAAAUGGUUGGAAAAUG
Carassius auratus (goldfish) is the source of this 1692-nucleotide RNA transcript. It is a transcript of the gene named cold-inducible RNA-binding protein B, with no coding region annotated. Lineage: Eukaryota; Metazoa; Chordata; Actinopteri; Cypriniformes; Cyprinidae. The record is from RefSeq and is a predicted model, not a curated record. The transcript is spliced from 7 exons.